CAUUGCCUAGCCAAGUGACACUUUUGACAAGCGAAAUCAAAUCGUUAUCGCCUCCUAGGUGUAGCUACGUAGCGCGAGCUAUCCCCUUGCAGAUAACUUAUCGAAGCACAAGAAAAUACCGAAUAAUAGUGUUUGUAAAUUAGAAUUUGUAGUAAAAAGCAUACUUCAACAUCAUUGUGGGCGGCGAACAACGCGGAAGUGUCGCUUAGACGCAGGCGCCGUCUGAAAAAUCGCCUCUAUUGAAACUGCUUAGGAAAGGACUGCUACGAUCAAAGGAUUGUGGGCCGUACGCAGCAUUUCACCCAAAGAAUCCAAUGUGACCGAGGCGCUGAAUAUCUACCUAUCUAUAGUGACAGUGUCAUGGAAAAAUGGAUUAUGCACCCACAAAUGCAACACGUAACAACGUCCCUACAAAGGUGACUUGGAUAUUCAUUGCAGCCUUGGCAUAUGAACCAAUACUUUAUGGUGCUCCAAAGCCAGGGUCAAGGGAAGAAACUAUGUCACAUGUACAACCACAAAAAUAUAUUGAGUGUUGUUUUACUGUUUUAAAACACUGUACAUAAUAUAUGUACAAACAAGAAUGCUUGGCUACUGAUUUCAUGCUGCCGGCAAAAAAUACCUGCUGCAUCUUUCAUUAACAGAUUUUCAAUAAAAUAAAUUAACUUUUUAACCCAA
Molecule: long non-coding RNA, 675 nt
Organism: Cydia fagiglandana
Lineage: Eukaryota; Metazoa; Arthropoda; Insecta; Lepidoptera; Tortricidae
Exons: 2
Source: RefSeq, a predicted model, not a curated record